RNAcentral lists this long non-coding RNA (1939 nucleotides) under Triticum aestivum (bread wheat). Its description in RNAcentral is "long non-coding RNA (TAES_LNC011009)". The record is from RNAcentral. Lineage: Eukaryota; Viridiplantae; Streptophyta; Magnoliopsida; Poales; Poaceae.
UUGCAAUCAAGUAGAUAGGACAUGCUUUCAGUUUUCGGUUUGAGGGACUAUUUGUGGGAAGUACGAGGGAUCAUUCAUCGACGGUUCAAGGGACUCCAAAUACGAUCUACAUCAGCACGUUCUUCUUCCGCUGCAACUCGGUGACGGUAAGCAUCCUGAUCGCAACCCGUUAUACAACUUCAUAUUGAUCUUGGGUGAUCGUAGGUGCAAUUUUUUUUCUAGUAUGUUUCCCAACAAAGACCCCCUCUACCUAGAAAGCCUCAGAGUUAUUCAUGUAAUUUUUCACGGACUAGAGUCCAUCGAUGUAGAAGGCGGUCUGGACACUAGUCUCACCUUUGAAGGAAGCUGUUAGCCAGCAUCAAUAUUACAUAUUAGUCUUUAAUUGCGAUCUUUAGUCAUGAUUUGAAGCAAUAAAUACGUGAGUCACCGGAAGUGAUGGACAGAGAGAAUGAAAGUAUUGAUGAAGAUAGCAUGCCAACAGUAAUUUAUUAGAUACAUAAGUAAAAUAACCAAUAUAAUUUAGUAAUAUAUAUCCUAGACAUGGUUGUUCCUCAACUGAGAAAUAAAUAUUCCACAUUGAGUGAGAAUUAGUCCUCAUGAAAAAGAUAAAGAUAUGUCCGGGAUUGGUUUUGACGUAAAAAUAUAUAAUCAUAAUAAUACAAGAAUACAUAGUGUAAAGGGAAAACAAAUGCAAGAUAUACCAACAUCGAUUAAAUGGAUGAUUCAUGAAAGAAGCCAUAUGAGAAACAUCUAUGCAAAUAUUAUUGUUCCACGAUUGAGAAAUAAUUAUUUAAGACCGACUGAGAAAUAGUCCCUUAAUAAAAUAUACAAUUUAAUGCGUGGCACUAAUUUUAAAGUAACGAGAUAUCAUGAUAUCAAUACCAGUAUUAUAUAUGUAGUGUAAAGAGAAUAAAAGUGCAAAACUUAUCAACAUUAGUUAGUAGAUAAUAAAUGCAAGAAAUGACAACAUCUAUCAAAGAUAUGAUUGUCCUUUGAUGAAGAAAUAACCAUUACAUACUGACUAAGAUUAAUAGUUCCUCAAUAAAUACAAAAUAUGAUGAUUUGUGUCCCAUUGCUUUUGGCGUAACAAGAUAUCAUGAUAUAAAAUACAAUACAAAUAGUGUAAAGAUAGUACGCAUGCAACAUAUAUCAACAUUAAUUUACUAAAUAACAAAUUUAAUAAACCAUAUGGGAAAUGUUUGUUUAAGAUAUGGCUGUGCCUCUAUAUAAAGCCAACAAACACAGGGAGCUUUGGCAGGAAAGAAACACACUAUAAGAACACAAGGAGCACGAACCUACACAAGUCACCCGCCUCUUCUCCUCAUGGCACCCGUAAAUCGAGGCAACACAAGGAGGGCUAGGUCCAUUGCUUUCCUUGUCCUUGUGAUGGUGUUUGCUUGUACCAUGUCAUCCUGCCAUGCACGAGGUAAGAAAUGUUUGAAAGUGCUAAUCUAGAAUGAUCUUGUCUUGUUGAAUUGCUAAUGAUGAGUACAAUGUUAUUGCAUCUACAGGUGGGGAGCCGUAUUGCAUAAAUUCUCCACUAGGAUGCUCUGAGCCUAGUUGCAUGGAGGAAUGCAAUUUAAUAGACAAGGGUCUUCAUUCCUUCUAUUGUAACCACAUUGGGCAAUGUUGUUGUUGGCCCCUAUAGUUUGAUCGGACACAACCAUUUUGGUUAUGGCUCCAUGACGUCUAAUGAAUCUUGAUUGUGAUUGUGUGAUGCAAUCUCGGGGAAUAAACUCCUUGCAUGGAAUGCGCAUCUCUAUUUGAUGUAGAUGGAAUAAUAUGUUCCUUUAGAAUGUGAUUAGUGGCAUCUGCUGCAAACCAUCUUUCUUUUCUUGUAUGACCAACUUUUCAAUUCAACUCAAUGAUUUAAAAGUAUGAAUAAACAAUCUUUCUACUUGAUUUUCAUUGUAUGGGUCUAUUUCCUAUAGGAAUCAAU